RNAcentral lists this microRNA precursor (165 nucleotides) under Oryza sativa Indica Group (long-grained rice). RNAcentral's name for it is "MIR812 microRNA precursor family". It matches the Rfam family "MIR812 microRNA precursor family", at positions 33 to 196 of the family's 205-position model. Lineage: Eukaryota; Viridiplantae; Streptophyta; Magnoliopsida; Poales; Poaceae. The record is from Rfam by way of RNAcentral.
NNNNAUUGUCCGUCUUAUAUGAAAUUUUUUUAUAAUUAGUAUUUUUAUUGUUGUUAGAUGAUAAAACAUGAUUAAUACUUUAUGCGUGACUUGUCUUUUUAAUUUUUUUCAUAUUUUUUUCAAAUAAGACAGACCGUCAAACGUUGGACACGAAAACCCAGGGUU